GACGAACGCUGGCGGCGUGCUUAACACAUGCAAGUCGAACGGAAAGGCCCUGCUUUUGUGGGGUGCUCGAGUGGCGAACGGGUGAGUAACACGUGAGUAACCUGCCCUUGACUUUGGGAUAACUUCAGGAAACUGGGGCUAAUACCGGGAGCUCCUGCUGCAUGGUGGGGGUUGGAAAGUUUCGGCGGUUGGGGAUGGACUCGCGGCUUAUCAGCUUGUUGGUGGGGUAGUGGCUUACCAAGGCUUUGACGGGUAGCCGGCCUGAGAGGGUGACCGGCCACAUUGGGACUGAGAUACGGCCCAGACUCCUACGGGAGGCAGCAGUGGGGAAUAUUGCACAAUGGGCGGAAGCCUGAUGCAGCAACGCCGCGUGCGGGAUGACGGCCUUCGGGUUGUAAACCGCUUUCGCCUGUGACGAAGCGUGAGUGACGGUAAUGGGUAAAGAAGCACCGGCUAACUACGUG
RNAcentral lists this ribosomal RNA (464 nucleotides) under uncultured bacterium. RNAcentral's name for it is "partial 16S ribosomal RNA". It matches the Rfam family "Bacterial small subunit ribosomal RNA", at positions 28 to 507 of the family's 1533-position model. The record is from RNAcentral.